AAUAAGUACAUUUUUUAGUUUUAGGUAUAAUGUUUUGACUCUUCGUCUUAUUUAAAUUUUUUUGAUUAAUAAUUUUAUUGUUACUGGAUAAUAAAACAUGAAUAAUAUUUUAUGUGUGACUAAUUUUUCUAAAAUUUUUGUACAAAUUUUUCAAAUAUGAUGAAUGAUCAAAUAUUGGACACAGAAAU
Molecule: microRNA precursor, 188 nt
Filed under: Oryza brachyantha (malo sina)
Lineage: Eukaryota; Viridiplantae; Streptophyta; Magnoliopsida; Poales; Poaceae
Description: MIR812 microRNA precursor family
Rfam family: MIR812 microRNA precursor family
Source: Rfam by way of RNAcentral